Molecule: non-coding RNA, 85 nt
Filed under: Jeotgalibacillus soli
Lineage: Bacteria; Bacillati; Bacillota; Bacilli; Caryophanales; Caryophanaceae
Description: c-di-GMP sequence
Rfam family: c-di-GMP-I riboswitch aptamer
About the family: GEMM was predicted in a large-scale screen for bacterial structured RNA regulatory elements.
Source: Rfam by way of RNAcentral
CUAAGAUAAAGGCAAACUAGCUGAAAGGCUAGGGCGCAAAGUCACAGAUCUAAGGCAUUUAUGCUAUGAUAGCUGGACUGCCGAA